GAUGAAGGGGUGCAAGCUGCCGUAGCGACCCAAGAAGAGAUCCAAAUUCGUCCAAAAAUGCAUACUCUUGGUGAGUCCUGGAGCAUGGCUGUCAGAUCUCUCACAGGAGAGGUAUGUAGUCAGGGAGAAGAAGGGAUCAAGAAAGAGGAGAAGAGGAUUAAAGGCCAUGUCCAUGGAGAGUGAUUCAGAAUGAAGCAAAAGGGAGA
Molecule: long non-coding RNA, 206 nt
Organism: Zingiber officinale
Lineage: Eukaryota; Viridiplantae; Streptophyta; Magnoliopsida; Zingiberales; Zingiberaceae
Exons: 3
Source: RefSeq, a predicted model, not a curated record